Molecule: ribosomal RNA, 641 nt
Filed under: Gracilaria parvispora
Lineage: Eukaryota; Rhodophyta; Florideophyceae; Gracilariales; Gracilariaceae
Description: eukaryotic LSU rRNA
Rfam family: Eukaryotic large subunit ribosomal RNA
Source: RNAcentral
GAAUCCGCUAAGGAGUGUGUAACAACUCACCUGCCGAAUGAAGUAGCCCUGAAAAUGGAAGACGCUUAAGCGGGUAGCCGAUACUACGCCGUCUGAAAAAAUAUUUUUUUGGAUGAGUAGGGGGGCGUGGUGAUCGUAUCGAAGCACUGCGUGCGAACGCGUGUGGAACGGUCACUAGUGCAGAUCUUGGUGGUAGUAGCAAAUAUUCAAGUGAGAACCUUGAAGGGCGAAGCGGGGAAGGGUUCCAUGCGAACAUUGAUUGGGCAUGGGUGAGUCGUACCUAAGCCGAGUGGCAAUUGCUUACUCACGCGGCGAAAGGGAAGCGGGUUGAAAUUCCCGCACACGGAUGUGGAAGCGGCGACGCAUUACUGGGGCGGUGACGUUGGCAGUGGCGCUGGGCAGAGUUGUCUUUUCUGUUUAACCGCCUGACGCUUGCACUGUGGAAUCCGCUUGUCGGGAGAAACAGGCAAGGCACGGGUAGAGCGCCGGGCUUUUUUCGGCGUCCAGCUCGCCACUGACGGCCCUUGAAAAACUGUCCUCAGAUAUUAAACUCCACGCCGUGGCGUACCGAUAACCGCAUCAGGUCCCCAAGGUGAACAGCCUCUGCUCGAUAUGAAAAAUGCAGGUAAGGGAAGUCGGCA